Molecule: long non-coding RNA, 3461 nt
Organism: Wasmannia auropunctata (little fire ant)
Lineage: Eukaryota; Metazoa; Arthropoda; Insecta; Hymenoptera; Formicidae
Exons: 6
Source: RefSeq, a predicted model, not a curated record
UUAAUACAGGUUUGGAAUCAAUCGAGGAGAGGCUUCCUCCUUCCUUCGCAAAAGGAGCUUCGUGAGAUUUCGCCGCUUGCCACUAGAAGAUUAAAGGGGGAAUCUCUAGUAAUCGAUCGCAUGCCCUUCGCUAUUUGCCUACCACGCUUUUCCCCUGCGGCAGCUACAAUUUCCAACGUCUAGCUGUAAUCCAUUGCAACUGCAUUCCAUUCUUCCCGGCCACGUUUGUAGCCCGAAUUUACUUUCGCGCGAUGAUGACUGCAUUGGAAGCGUUUGCCUUUCGUCCCGCAAUAGUCGCCGAGAGCGCUUCGUCGAAGCUGAAGGGCCUCGCGGAACGCCUCUAAUUCCGAAAUCCGUUUUCGAGCGCAAUAAAGAGAGCGCAAAGGCUAUUUGCGAUAAGGUUUAACGUUUGCCAAUUGAUAGCAACCGAUAACGAUAAGUUAUCGAGCGAGCGGCCGAGUAUCGAGCGGUCAUGAAAAAGAGACCUCAAUCGUCGUGAAAUCGUCGUCGAGUAAGCCGUAGAGACAGCGUGAGAAAUGCAGUAAAUUGCGUCGAAAGAUAACACAUUCACGUGUUCAGAUAAUUCAUUCAUUGUUACGAUAUCGCGAAUGUCAAAAACUUUUUAAUAUAUACGCCGUCUACAAAUCGAAUUCUGAAGCAACAGGGAUUCUGGAAGAUCCAAAGACAGGGAUCCCCCGGAGAUUGGAUGGUAGAUUAGAGGGAAAAAUAGGAUUAUCGAAAAUCGUUUAAGGAUCCCGACAAUCGAAGAAUCGCUACAAUGGCUGAAAGAACGCCGGUGGCUGACAGUGAAAAAGUGAAAGAAAUCGCGCCCGAUAAGACGCAAGAGGUCGACGCCAUUUUGUCGGCGGGGACAUCGGUUGACACGGAAGACGGAAGCGAAAUUAAAAGUCGAGUCAAGAGGAACAUCAUCACUGUGCCGGAACGAAAGGUCGAGAUCGAGAAAAACGGAAAGAAGUAUCGCCGCGAUGCGAAUGGACAAUGGAGGCCCGUAUUGUAUUGAUUAACGUUUCACACGAUAUGAGCGGUGUCAUCCUACAAACGUCGCAGUGAAAUAUCGUAACAACGCGUGACGAGAGAUUGGCCAAGCUAUUCAUCCCGCUUUGCAUUAUCGGAGAAACGAAAUAUUUCACCAUAAAAUGCAAUUACCAAUAUAUGUGAAUUAUUUAUUCAUUGUAUUAGUGUUACUAAUUACGCGGUAAUUUGUGGCAUCGAUAUAAUCUGAGGUCCCAAUUUAUCGUAAAUAAGAUACAUUUUCUAAUAUGCUUAUGUUUUUUUUGCACUUGUAAAAUGAAAACCAUGUAUAUAUGUACGUCAGCAAAGUCUAGCAAUAAAUAGAAAAAAAACCUCAUAGUUGUAUGUUUCUACAAACCGCACGUCACUAUGUAUAUUGAAAUUUAAAUGACAAAUGGAUUCGGACAAUCAAAUUUGGACUGAUUUUUCUUUAAUAGACGUUUAGUAAUCAUUCCUACUCUGUAUAGAAAAAAAGUUACAGCAAGUAUUACUAAAUAAAGUGUUAUUAAUGGCUGUGUAUGCCUAUCAGUUCUAUUUGCAACACGUUCUUCUUUAGGUCAGCCAUGUUAUCAGAUUUUGACAUUUAUUGGUCUAAAUCUCUAAAUAUAACGGCGGUGUUGUGAGCAUAAAAUAAACGUGCAGCAGUCAAUCUUGAUGCCGAACGGGCGGCAUUAAAAAUAUGAAAGUAUAUACAAGCCUAUAUAUCGUUAUCUGUCUUUCCAUCUUUCCAUUCAGAUAUAAAGUUAUUUACUGACAUGUAUAGUGGCCUGUUUUUUAUCGAUCGACAUAAGAUAUAUUAUUUUUAAAGACAUCUUUUAACCGUGUCAAGGCCGAUGUUAGUCUGUCACGUUAGUCUGUAGACUGGCAGGGUUAUAGCGUCUCGCGCGGGUACAAGUCAUAAGAAAUGAUAUGUAUGCGAAGCUGAGCACUUUGUAUGUUAUUUCAACGUGCAUAUUAUAAUAUUUAUAACAGUUUGUUAGAGAGUUGUGCGAACGCUCCACUUGUAUUUAAAUUUUCGCAGACGUUUACACGCGGAGAAAAUGACGGGACGCUGUAACUACGUUCAUUAAUUAACGACAUUGAUAUUAGUAAACUUCGAUUGCAACAAUUAUAGCGCGAUCUUUAAUCUGCACGAUUUUAAUUUUUAUUGUAACGAAGCGAAGUGCACGGUCGGAAGAUAACAUCUAAAUAUAAAUAAGGAACACGCAAUAGCGCGCGAAGCGGUAAAAUACUCGCUGAGAUAAGUAGAGUAAAGAAGCAGGUGGGAGCGUCUAAAAGGAGGGAGGGAGACGUCUAAAGCGAGAGGAGGGUUUGAAAAUUUCUUAGAUUUUCACGUAAGUUACGAAGAGACGUCAAGAGUCAAGAGACGUCAAGAGAAGAGAACCGAGAAAGAGAAAUGAAGAACUUCAUCGGUAUUUUGCUAAUACUUGCGACAGUGAUGUUAACCGUGAUAUCACCGACAGUCAGUCGAGAGAAUAAGAAUAUAACAUAUCCAAAUUUGGACUUUAUUCCACGUCUACGUCCGACUAGUGUUGUAGACGCACCCAUAAGAACAACUGCAAACCCCUGUCCGGAAGGUCAGAGACCUGAUUCCAGAGGAACAUGUCGCAUAGUUAUAUAACGAUCGAGAAAACACAGGCUUGUGGAUAUCAACAUUUCAGCAAUAUCAGCUAAAAGCGAGACCCGAAAAUAUCAACGGCAAUGAUAUAACAUACAUAAGGGUGAAAAUAUUCUGUAUUUUGCAGGACUUCGUAGAACUUUAAUAAAUUUAUAUUGUAGUUAAUUUUAAUUGCAUUAUGCGUUGUAAAAUUAUGCGUGAAUAUAAUUGACUAAUAUAUAUCUGAUAACAAUAUUUAGGAAAUCUCGCGCGCGUAUGAGUUUCUCACAGUCCAGCAUAUAAUUUACUUUAUUAUAUUAUACAGAAAAUUAAAUUAAAUUACAUUUUCUCGUAACCGGUAAUUCGCACAAAAUACUAAAAGGACAAUUGUUGGUUUAAAAAGGAAUGCAAUUUGUCAAGUAUGUAAACAGAAUGAGUUAUCCUGUUUCAUUAUAUAUUCUGUCGCAUUAUUUUAUCUUGUUACAACGCUUUUUUUUAGAUUUCCGUUUUAUCAUCUAAGGUCGUCUUUAGUUGAUCCUAAAAUGUAAUCGCGUGUCGAGGGUAUAUAAUAUUUUUCUGCAGUACUACAAAAAAUAUUAGAUGAUUGUAUACGUUUUCACGUUGCAGUUUACAUUCACAUUCAUUUGUCGAUUUGUAUGCUGGAUCGUCGCAGGCUUUGUUUCACGACCGUUGUCGCUGCACAUACUUGACACACAUCGCGACUCACGAAUCUCAAAAGACCGGAGAAAAAGAGAGGCAGAGAAAGAGAGAAACACGGUUGAAGAAAUAAGUAAAAAUGGACUUCUUUAAAUACACGUUUGAUAAAGAGAAA